Molecule: transfer RNA, 72 nt
Filed under: Heterocephalus glaber (naked mole-rat)
Lineage: Eukaryota; Metazoa; Chordata; Mammalia; Rodentia; Bathyergidae
Rfam family: tRNA
About the family: Transfer RNA (tRNA) molecules are approximately 80 nucleotides in length. Their secondary structure includes four short double-helical elements and three loops (D, anti-codon, and T loops).
Source: Rfam by way of RNAcentral
GGGGAUGUAGCUCAGUGGCAAUGCGCCUGCCUCACAAGCACAAGGUCCUGAGUUCGAUCCCCGGUACCACCA